AAUGAUGGAGACUUUCUUCAGGGAAAAUGGCUGACAGAAAUACUGGGACGGAAGCAAACGUCAGUGAUUAUAACGUCAUGACAAAUCAUGCAAAAAUGGACUCCUGAAACAACCAGCAAACCAGGGUGUCAUCUUGUGAAACAAUGGAUGUAAUAAUCUAGCUAGUGUAGAGAAAUGCUAUUUCUUAUGCAGGUCACCAACCUAUUGCUAAUACAUGGCUACAACUCACAGUAAAGCCUGCGGGGUCCCCUACAGGAUAGCUCCCGCAUUACACACUUACUGCCAAACUAGCGCACACACAUAAUCUCCUCUCUAGCCGAACAUUGUGUGCCCGAAGAGGAUUCCACGAUGACGGACAGACAACUGAGCCAAUGGCGGAAGACUACAGACUACACCCAGCCUGAACCAAUCCAAAGAUCCGAUCUUCUAGAAUCAACCUACUUUCUGUGCCAUAUAUUAGGGCUGUGCUGAUUGUUAACGGCCUCUUUUCCUGCUGUUCUGUGCGAGCUAACUGGGAGAGCCGUAAUUACGCUGUACUCGAUAUCUUCACUCUGAAUAAACUGUCGCUUGUCAUACAAUUUACCACUUUGUCUGAAUCGAUCCUUGACCGGCUCACCCAUCUACAUAUCUAAUUACUAACACUAGCUAAAGCAUUUACUGCAAAUUGAAUGUACAAUUUUGUAAACUGGCCUUGCUGAUAUUUUCCAUGCAUUGCAGAUAGAUGAAAUAAUGUAGAUAGCUAUGUUCUUGCUUAUUGUGCAGUGGAGUAUAAAAAUACCUGUAUGCCCUAUGGAUGUGUAGCUAGCUAUCUAGCCGAUCUGUGUAUGGACACAAACGUUUGGUAUACAAUAUUAGUUCAGAACCUAGCCAUGAACCUCAGCUAUCAUAGCCAGUUGUGUCAACAUCAAAACAGUCUGAAUGACAUUAAUGAAGCCUAUGGAUUGAGUAGAAUAUAAUAUAACUUUGUGCCAAGGAUGCAAGUCGUAUACAUGUAGUUAAUACCAUGCAUGAGAUGCCACAUCGUAGCUUGUACAUUUAAUAUAUUCACUGAAAAUGUACUCUACCUUGGCAAAUAAAGGUGCAGUUCAGGUA
Molecule: long non-coding RNA, 1092 nt
Organism: Oncorhynchus nerka (sockeye salmon)
Lineage: Eukaryota; Metazoa; Chordata; Actinopteri; Salmoniformes; Salmonidae
Exons: 2
Source: RefSeq, a predicted model, not a curated record